CAACCUACCUAUCAGAGGGGAAUAACCCGGCGAAAGUCGGACUAAUACCGCAUAAAACAGGGGCACCGCAUGGUGAUAUUUGUUAAAGAAAUUCGCUGAUAGAUGGGCAUGCGUUCCAUUAGGUAGUUGGUGAGGUAACGGCUCACCAAGCCGACGAUGGAUAGGGGAACUGAGAGGUUGGUCCCCCACACUGGUACUGAGACACGGACCAGACUCCUACGGGAGGCAGCAGUGAGGAAUAUUGGUCAAUGGGCGGGAGCCUGAACCAGCCAAGUCGCGUGAAGGAAGAAGGAUCUAUGGUUCGUAAACUUCUUUUGCAGGGGAAUAAAGUGCAGGACGUGUCCUGUUUUGUAUGUACCCUGAGAAUAAGGAUCGGCUAACUCCGUGCCAGCAGCCGCGGUAAUACGGAGGAUCCGAGCGUUAUCCGGAUUUAUUGGGUUUAAAGGGUGCGUAGGUGGUCUGAUAAGUCAGCGGUGAAAGUUUGCAGCUUAACUGUAAAAAUGCCGUUGAAACUGUCGGACUUGAGUGUAAAUGAGGUAGGCGGAAUGCGUGGUGUAGCGGUGAAAUGCAUGGAUAUCACGAAGAACUCCGAUUG
Molecule: ribosomal RNA, 595 nt
Filed under: uncultured Bacteroidota bacterium
Lineage: Bacteria; Pseudomonadati; Bacteroidota
Description: bacterial SSU rRNA
Rfam family: Bacterial small subunit ribosomal RNA
Source: RNAcentral